Molecule: ribosomal RNA, 427 nt
Filed under: uncultured prokaryote
Description: bacterial SSU rRNA
Rfam family: Bacterial small subunit ribosomal RNA
Source: RNAcentral
UGGGGAAUUUUGCGCAAUGGGCGAGAGCCUGACGCAGCAACGCCGCGUGGGUGAUGAAGGUCUUCGGAUCGUAAAACCCUGUCGUCAGGGACGAAGGUCGCGAGUUUAAGAGAUGCGCGACUUGACGGUACCUGGAGAGGAAGCCCCGGCUAACUCUGUGCCAGCAGCCGCGGUAAUACAGAGGGGGCAAGCGUUAUUCGGAAUUAUUGGGCGUAAAGGGCGCGUAGGCGGUGUCUUAAGUGAGAUGUGUAAUCCCCGGGCUUAACUUGGGAACUGCAUCUCAGACUGGGGCGCUAGAGUACUGGAGAGGGUGGUGGAAUUCCACGUGUAGCGGUGAAAUGCGUAGAGAUGUGGAGGAACACCAGUGGCGAAGGCGGCCACCUGGACAGUGACUGACGCUGAGGCGCGAAAGUGUGGGGAGCAAACA